This 2687-nucleotide long non-coding RNA is filed under the name Manduca sexta (tobacco hornworm). Its description in RNAcentral is "uncharacterized LOC115455074, transcript variant X2". The record is from RNAcentral. Lineage: Eukaryota; Metazoa; Arthropoda; Insecta; Lepidoptera; Sphingidae.
ACCGCGAGGUGAAAACACUGGCGAACAAAUGAAGCUGGAAUUAUCUGUUUACUUACCAGUUUCAACAUCGAGGAGAUAAUACCGUAACCUGCAGAAGUGUCUCCCCGCUGUUGGGCGAGAUGAAGCUCGGCGCCGGGGUCAGUAUCAUGGCUUUAUACCACUCUGCUUGCAAACCAUCGAUUAUUAUAAAUGUUCGUACAAUAGACUGCCCAUACAUGUAAUUCUCAUUUAAUUGUUUCAUGAGACAAGGGUCCAGCCAGCGGUGCUGCUGCGAACUACGUAAGUAUCUUCUCAAAUCAAUCAUAUAAUCUGGUAAAUGUCAUUUUCCUCAUGCAUAAAUAUCUAUUAUUGCAUGCGUUCGGAGCGGAGUCCCGAUCUGUACACGAAACUCGCUCCCGUUUUUAUUCAUACAGAUGCCGGCUUCUCCACCAUCACUGCACUGAUGUCACGACAUCACUCUACAAGGUACAACUCCAGCACGGAGGUAUUUCUCAUGUGGCGGUACCCUAUACCCUGCUUUUGCAUCACAACAUUACACUACUUAUUAUACAUAUAAAAUAAGGGGGGGGGGCCGCGGCCAGCCAGGAGUACCACUUACCUGGCUGCAAGUCUUCCCCCUUAUGGAGGAACACUACGACCCGUUCCUCCCAGCGAGAACCCCCCGACACUAAACAUCAUGCGCAUGGAACUAUAAGUAUCAAUUCACUUGGGCUCGUCGUCUCGGAAGUCAUCACUAUUUGCCAGUUUGUACCAACAUUGCACAGCCAACCAUCACUCAGAAGCAGUUUGGCUUACAUAGGAGUACCGACAAUGCAAGCAAGAUUUUUCUCGGCACUCCUGCAAAGAAAUCGGCAUAUGUCACCGCACCUGCGUCCUGCCACACAAAUCUGAAAAGUAGAAUGAAUGCGCAAAGAUCUUAUUUAUUGGCAACACAAUAUUCUGGAAACUAGCUUAUUGCCGAUCAUCAAUUGUCGGGGGGAAAGGGGGCCGCGGCAGCCAGGCAGACCACCCGCCUGGCUGAAGAUUUACCCCAUCAUGGAGGAACACUGCCACACGUUCCUCCGCACAGUUUCACCGCAUCGUCUCGAAUACGCAGCAGAAGAUUACGCCACAACUAUUUUACCUAUUACUACUAAAAUAGUAUAUUCUGCUUCCUGCGUUCCAAGCUUGGUGGAGCUUGACGAUUACUUCACAGCGUCAUAACCAUGGACAGACAUCAUGGACUGCGACUAGACGAGGGGCAGCAACUGUAGCAGCUUCAGUAUCCAGCGAUCGCUGGCUACCAAGAGGGUCGCGCGGUGACGGUGAGCAGUCACAACUUGUUGCUUGGAGAAGGAUUAGACAGAAGAAUUCUUCUCAUCACUAGUCUGCAAGCAGCGAUCGCCGGAUAUGCAACAUAAAGAAGAGACGUCAGAGCUGCGGUGCAGAGACUAUUUGGAAGAGAGACAGAACCGAAGAAGACGCUCUUCGGCGGGCUUACAUUGUAGAUUUAAGGCGUCCUUUUGUAAAACACCUAAUGUACCUAAUAUAAGUGUUGUAAGCUACCAUUUACAACACUGAUAUGACAUGCGUUGAAUUAGUAUUAAGGUAUUUUUGUAAUAUUCGACAUAAGGUCAACAUUUUUAUUCCGAGUUACAAGUCUCUCGUUGGUCGGUUCACUUAUUUUUUUCAAAUUGUUAUCGGAUUUCUCUAUUCACAUUUACGACAAUUAUUGGCAUAACACUGAGAAGGAAGGGGCAUGCAUGAGGUGCUUAGCUCUGUGUUUCCUCUGGUACCGAUGUGUUCCAUAAUACUUUAUUCUACAUGCUCCUCUUCAGGAGCUUACCUGAAGAGGAGAAUGUAGUAUUCUGUUUGCAGCAUUAGUUUCUACUAUCUAAACUACGUGUUCGGUGAUCGUACUCGGAUGAGACCAAUUAGCUGUGUGCGGUCCCACAUCUCACCAGAGUCUGCGUCUGCAGCGGUAAAUGGAAACUUCAGCUCGGACCUCAAGAGCACCUCGCCGGCGCUCUCGGCGGCGACUCUUCACGACUAGCGCAGAUCUUCCAGGUCCUAUCAAACACAAAGUGACAAGCGUCGAUGAAGGCGGUAGUACUGCGGCGGCGGUCUUCGCAGAACAGCUGGCGACGAGCUGGUGGUCGCGUCUGUGUCCUGGAGUCAGCCACACACGUGGCACACGUGGCACGCCAGGAUCACUGACGUCACGUAGCGGCGCGUGAUGCAUCAGGCACGCGUCCGCGUGGUCGGAGGCCAGCUCGCCAGGACACCCGCGUGGGUGAGGGGCGCCAACCGUUGCGCUACCCAAAUGUACGGAGUGAGCGCCCACACCUCAUGCGAUGGGGCCGCAGAAUUGUAAUAAUUAUAGAUAUCCAUAUGAGUUUAGGUUCGCGGAAAAAUUACAAUCGCAAAAUAUACAAGUUGUUUGUCUCUAUUUACUGCGAAAAUUCCUACAUUUUGUAUUGUAUUUUGAAAUGGAUCCUAAUUGUUGUACGUAUUUUCUAUGUUUUUCUUACAGUUUUAUAUAAAAUGUAAACAACAUAACCUUAAUGUGCAAUAAAAUUUUAAAUUAUGUGUGUUUUAUUACAUUUAGUUACGGCAGUAUUUAUCUUUAAAUUUGUUUCAUAUACCGUGUUAAUAUGUAUUUAUUAUAUUUGUAAUAAAUAGUAUUUGCCAUUAUUUCGUUUCCCUUA